UAACAACUACAAUAUUUUCCCAUCUCUGUCUACCUGUGGCUACAAAAGUCCAAAAGCUUCUUCCUGCCUUCAACGAUUUCAUCAAUGAAAUCAUCAAGUUGGCAAACAAUAUUCUCAGCUCCAGAUCUCAGUACCCCAAAACAAGCUCUCAAAUUCUCAACCCUUUCUCUAAUUCCAAUCUCUGUUUCCCAUUCCACCACUCCUUGCGACCCCAUCCCCACCCUCCUCUCCAAUUCCGCCCUCAGUUCCUCCAUCGCCAUCUUCGACCUCCUAAACUCGUACAGCAAAAUCCCAGGCCUUCCGUUCAUCUGGUUGAUUUCUCCGGCGACUCUCUCCUGCAAUCUCGCCGUCGAUAUCAUAAAAGCUGAACCGAAAAACAGACACCCUUCAUACCCUCCUCUUACAAAAUUCGAUUCCGGCCAACAGUAAACCAGCCCGUAGAGUAAGAUCAUUAGGAGGAGGGAGCUCACAUUUCUCAUUGCGUACAGAACUCCCCUGAAUCCAUUGAAUCCGUUCAGCUUUGAUUCGAUCGAUACUUUCUCAUCGAACCGCAGAGAUAGCGGUUGAAUUCUUGCUUCCAUCAGUGCCCGAUUCUCCUCUUCCAAUCCCACCGCUUCCCUUCGACACCCUGAUAUUGCCCUAAUCACCUGGCGAGAAAGUUGCGAACUCAGAUGGCGAUGAGUUUCGAGAGAGGAAGUGAUAUUGAACCCAGCAGAGUAGAAAUUUUCGAUUCCAGAAAUGCCUGAUUUGAGGACAUGACAGGCGUCCCACAGCUUAG
This 778-nucleotide unclassified non-coding RNA is filed under the name Hevea brasiliensis (rubber tree). The record is from RNAcentral. Lineage: Eukaryota; Viridiplantae; Streptophyta; Magnoliopsida; Malpighiales; Euphorbiaceae.